CUUUACCUUAUUAUAUACCUAUUAUUAAUAUACCGGUGUGUAUUAUAAGUAAUAUAAUAUACCUACUUACUUAUAUUACUUAUAAUAUACCUUAUUACUUCCUUAUAAUAUACUUUAUACCUUAUAAUAUUUAGAUAUUAUUCCGUCUAUAGUACAGUAUGGUUAAAUUGAUAUCGAAGUGCGAUGGAUCUCUCGUUCCUUUCGUCUUCCUACAUCUCCAUUCCGGUCCUGAGUAAAUCUUUAUAGGAACGCUGUCCGACGUUUUGACUUCGGUAGAUCCAACCUAUAAUAAUCACUUCUAUGGACGCGUGUAGGUAUCCACUCUGCAAUUCUACCGCGUGGUUUUUCCUCCAUUUCGGAAAUCGAUGGCCGUCUUCUCCGUGGGUAUGGAAAAUUUUUCCUGCCACGCAGUUUUGAAAUAGUCUAUAUCGAGUGGAUGAUGCGCGGUAUUAAGAGCGGGUACCACCGGUAAAACGGAGGUACCGACCGAUGGAUGGCGAAGAUCUAACCAGUUACACCGACCGUAAUUUAGUCUUUCUAACCGAGUUAACGGCGGUAAGUCGACCUACUGACCGACAUAGGCGGUUAUUUCUCGGCUGGUCGUUUGGUCAUCGGCCCCUUUUCACCGGUUAUUUAGACCCUACUUCGGGUCAGUCAAAGAUGACGGGCGAUAGGUGACGGAGCGGAGCCAAACCAACCACCCAUGCGGGGUCGGCCGUGUUUAUGGCUCUCAAAAUACUUCUCUACUUGUUAGAAAGAUAUCCGGACCUGUCUCCGUGGUCGUUAGAUGGAAAAUGUCUGGAGACGUUAAAUAUCUGCCAUUGCGCUUUAAAUAAUGGUAAAAUUUUCCACUUAAACCCGCUAUGUACCACCACUAAAAUGCUUGGUUUUCCGCUAUUUUAAUUACGCUAGUAAUUUCCAAUUUUUUCCAGCUACGUGGAAUGAAUAUUUUUCGGCAUUUUCCGACCACUGGAUAUCGUUUACCGCCGGUAGAGUGGAAAAAUAAAGCGUUAUGGUGGCCGGACAUUCGGUCCGAUCGACUCGUGUUUCUGGCCGGCUUUCGGUUGGUUAUUCACGUAUACCGUAGACAGUUCUGUCAUUUUUAUAGUCCACGUCUUUCUUUAAUACGAUUAACCACGCUCCCCUCGAGUCUAGUCAGACCCUUAAAGCUCAUCGGCCCGAUUUUCCAUUCACUUGUAUUUUGCCGACCAGAGACCAUCCAGCCACUCACCGAGUAUUAGUACUACGCCAUCUGGCGUCGAUUUUCUUAUCCGUCAGUCGACCGUCCACUUUUUUCCCGUUAGUAAAUGCGGUGAUGGAGUAAAGACCGAAAGACGGUGUUAGUGGACUUUUUGGCUCGGUACCGGUUCGCGGACCCGGGUCUAUUUAUACGGUAGCUUGAAAAGCCCCACGCCAACCCCAGGAAAUAAUGUAAAUGGAAAAGUUACGGCCUGGAGACCCAGCUAACCGUAAGUCGUAACCAUCCGAUCCACUCUAGUCUCGUCAGAUUUUCGUCUGUUACAAAAUAUAAUAAUAAAUUAAAACACCGAAACAAACCAAACUGAAAACUGAGACCUUUAAAAAGUGCCCGCACUGAGUAUAUAACCGAAAGACAUUCCGAGGGGAAGAAAAAAUAUCGUUGGAAACGUAAGUUAGACUAGAUUCGUUGGUGGAUCCGGACUGGUUCGGUGUCAAUGUAAAUGGCCCUAUUGAAAAAUAGGGCCGAAUUAGGGUCUAUCCGUCCAGUAGCGUCGAGUUGAUACUCGACGCCACUGGAUGGAUAAACCCUAAUUAGACCUGAUCUCGGACCUCCGGAAGUGUGUUUGCAGUUUGGGAAGUUUGCCGGUAGGUGGCCAGUUACUUUAAGCGCGGGUGAAAUGGCAGCGGUAAGUAGGAAAGAGCCGAAAGAUUUCGGACGAGAAUAGAGGGUGGCGAUUACCUACUCGAGCUGGG
RNAcentral lists this long non-coding RNA (1953 nucleotides) under Androctonus crassicauda. Lineage: Eukaryota; Metazoa; Arthropoda; Arachnida; Scorpiones; Buthidae. The record is from RNAcentral.